Molecule: ribosomal RNA, 738 nt
Filed under: uncultured Bacilli bacterium
Lineage: Bacteria; Bacillati; Bacillota; Bacilli
Description: bacterial SSU rRNA
Rfam family: Bacterial small subunit ribosomal RNA
Source: RNAcentral
GCGGCGUGCCUAAUACAUGCAAGUCGAGCGAACGGACGAGAAGCUUGCUUCUCUGAUGUUAGCGGCGGACGGGUGAGUAACACGUGGAUAACCUACCUAUAAGACUGGGAUAACUUCGGGAAACCGGAGCUAAUACCGGAUAAUAUUUUGAACCGCAUGGUUCAAAAGUGAAAGACGGUCUUGCUGUCACUUAUAGAUGGAUCCGCGCUGCAUUAGCUAGUUGGUAAGGUAACGGCUUACCAAGGCAACGAUGCAUAGCCGACCUGAGAGGGUGAUCGGCCACACUGGAACUGAGACACGGUCCAGACUCCUACGGGAGGCAGCAGUAGGGAAUCUUCCGCAAUGGGCGAAAGCCUGACGGAGCAACGCCGCGUGAGUGAUGAAGGUCUUCGGAUCGUAAAACUCUGUUAUUAGGGAAGAACAUAUGUGUAAGUAACUGUGCACAUCUUGACGGUACCUAAUCAGAAAGCCACGGCUAACUACGUGCCAGCAGCCGCGGUAAUACGUAGGUGGCAAGCGUUAUCCGGAAUUAUUGGGCGUAAAGCGCGCGUAGGCGGUUUUUUAAGUCUGAUGUGAAAGCCCACGGCUCAACCGUGGAGGGUCAUUGGAAACUGGAAAACUUGAGUGCAGAAGAGGAAAGUGGAAUUCCAUGUGUAGCGGUGAAAUGCGCAGAGAUAUGGAGGAACACCAGUGGCGAAGGCGACUUUCUGGUCUGUAACUGACGCUGAUGUGCGAAAG